RNAcentral lists this long non-coding RNA (575 nucleotides) under Capra hircus (goat). RNAcentral's name for it is "lncRNA (ENSCHIG00010011299.1)". The record is from RNAcentral. Lineage: Eukaryota; Metazoa; Chordata; Mammalia; Artiodactyla; Bovidae.
GCGGGACCAGUACCCUGCUCUGCGGGCCCAAGAGCGACGGAACUGGCAGACCGCUCUGGUCCUCUGCUGUGCCACGGAGCGUUAUGUUUCUGCUCUGGGUUUCCUUUUCUUCAGUCAAAAUAAGAGCAGAGGACCGAGUGAUGCCCCUGCUUUCCUGGGCCCCGUGGGUGCCCUGGACGCUGAGCCCGGACCCCUCUGCUCCCAUGGCCUCGCUGACAGUGUGGGCACCCAUGGCUCUCCCUGGGAAGCCUGCCCGGCGCCUUGGAGCCCUACAUCGUGGUGAGGUCAGCCCCCUGGGGUCCCACAGCCCCGAGGUGCCCCUGUACAGCCCGCACUGGGGCUCUCCUCUUCCUGUCGUGUGAGUGAGAGUUUCAUUCACGUCUGCCUCUCCCGCCAGCCUGGGGGCCCACCUGCAUGCAGGGACCUUGCCUACUGUAUACUGUAUCCAGCACACAGAAACGUUGUCAAGUGCCUACUAGGUUCUGGAUAAACACUGGAAAAAAAAAGAAACAGCAUUAGCGUGGCAAAGAAAAUGGACACAGACACCACUCAGGUGCUGAGGGCCGUGGUUCCGC